GCAAGUCGAACGGUAGAGGGGGCAACCCCUUGAGAGUGGCGAACGGGUGAGUAAUAUAUCGGAACGUGCCCAGUCGUGGGGGAUAACGUAGUGAAAAUUACGCUAAUACCGCAUACGAUCUAAGGAUGAAAGCGGGGGAUCGCAAGACCUCGCGCGACUGGAGCGGCCGAUAUCAGAUUAGGUAGUUGGUAGGGUAAAGGCCUACCAAGCCAACGAUCUGUAGCUGGUCUGAGAGGACGACCAGCCACACUGGAACUGAGACACGGUCCAGACUCCUACGGGAGGCAGCAGUGGGGAAUUUUGGACAAUGGGCGAAAGCCUGAUCCAGCCAUUCCGCGUGCAGGAUGAAGGCCCUCGGGUUGUAAACUGCUUUUGUACAGAACGAAAAAGUUUCUAUUGAUACUAGGAGCUCAUGACGGUACUGUAAGAAUAAGCACCGGCUAACUACGUGCCAGCAGCCGCGGUAAUACGUAGGGUGCAAGCGUUAAUCGGAAUUACUGGGCGUAAAGCGUGCGCAGGCGGUUAUAUAAGUCAGAUGUGAAAUCCCCGGGCUCAACCUGGGAACUGCAUUUGAGACUGUAUAGCUAGAGUACGGUAGAGGGGGAUGGAAUUCCGCGUGUAGCAGUGAAGUGCGUAGAUAUGCGGAGGAACACCGAUGGCGAAGGCAAUCCCCUGGACCUGUACUGACGCUCAUGCACGAAAGCGUCGGGAGCAAACAGGAUUAGAUACCCUGGUAGUCCACGCCCUAAACGAUGUCAACUGGUUGUUGGGUCUUAACUGACUCAGUAACGAAGCUAACGCGUGAAGUUGACCGCCUGGGGAGUACGGCCGCAAGGUUGAAGCUCAAAGGAAUUGACGGGGACCCGCACAAGCGGUGGAUGAUGUGGUUUAAUUCGA
Molecule: ribosomal RNA, 897 nt
Filed under: uncultured Burkholderiales bacterium
Lineage: Bacteria; Pseudomonadati; Pseudomonadota; Betaproteobacteria; Burkholderiales
Description: bacterial SSU rRNA
Rfam family: Bacterial small subunit ribosomal RNA
Source: RNAcentral